AACGGUGGAUCUCUGGGCUCGUGGAUCCGUGAAUAACGCAACCAGCUGCGAUAAUUAGUGUGAAUUGGAGAAUUCAGUGAAUCAUCGAAUCUUUGAACCCUUAUGGCGCUCUGGGGUUCUCCGGGGAGCCCGGCCGUCUGAGUGUCGG
This 148-nucleotide ribosomal RNA is filed under the name Palythoa caribaeorum. RNAcentral's name for it is "5.8S ribosomal RNA". It matches the Rfam family "5.8S ribosomal RNA". Rfam says of the family: 5.8S ribosomal RNA (5.8S rRNA) is a component of the large subunit of the eukaryotic ribosome. It is transcribed by RNA polymerase I as part of the 45S precursor that also contains 18S and 28S rRNA. Functionally, it is thought that 5.8S rRNA may be involved in ribosome translocation. The record is from RNAcentral. Lineage: Eukaryota; Metazoa; Cnidaria; Anthozoa; Zoantharia; Sphenopidae.